AUCUUAUUGGUCGAUGAAGAAAUGACUGGCCUGACACGCUGGUAAAAAACUGAACUAAAAGUUUAGAUGGUAGAUGUAAGCACGUAUAUUCAUUCCUUUAGAAACAGCGUCGUUGAAGUGGCGUGCCUGACGUAUUUUAAUAUUAUAUUUUGUUAGUUAUUACACUAAUUGGAAAUGGAUUCCACCAAUUCGCAAGCUUUUUGGGAAGGUGACCUGCACCCAAGCUGAUUUAUUCCUAAUACCUGAACUAGAUGAAAGCAUUGCCCAAUUAUAUAAACUAUGGUAGCAAUUUCUCGAUUUCAUUGAUGCUGAAACAACAAAAGUUAUGGAUCCAUUUGUUCCAACUACCAACAAUGAAGAAACAUGAUUGACCUGGAUUGAUUGUAUUUUACAAUAAUUUGUUCCAGCAAUAAAGUUAUUUGUUGGACAGAAAAACCUAGAAUGAUAACCCGAAUUUGGGCCUAUACAAAUUUGUAAAUAAAUAAAUUUAUUUUAUUUUCA
Molecule: long non-coding RNA, 501 nt
Organism: Nicrophorus vespilloides
Lineage: Eukaryota; Metazoa; Arthropoda; Insecta; Coleoptera; Silphidae
Exons: 4
Source: RefSeq, a predicted model, not a curated record